AACGUAGGUGGCGAGCGUUAUCCGGAUUUACUGGGCGUAAAGGGCGCGUAGGCGGCAGAUCAAGUCAGGGGUGAAAUCCGGCAGCUCAACUGUCGAAGUGCCUUUGAUACUGAUUUGCUCGAGGGAGAUAGGGGUCUGUGGAACUUCUGGUGGAGCGGUGAAAUGCGUUGAUAUCAGAAGGAACGCCGGUGGCGAAAGCGACGGACUGGAUCUCUUCUGACGCUGAGGCGCGAAAGCUAGGGGAGCAAACGGG
This 253-nucleotide ribosomal RNA is filed under the name uncultured bacterium. RNAcentral's name for it is "partial 16S ribosomal RNA". It matches the Rfam family "Bacterial small subunit ribosomal RNA", at positions 524 to 776 of the family's 1533-position model. The record is from RNAcentral.